This is an RNA transcript of Phodopus roborovskii (desert hamster), 2516 nucleotides long. It is a transcript of the gene named homeobox D11, with no coding region annotated. The record is from RefSeq and is a predicted model, not a curated record. Lineage: Eukaryota; Metazoa; Chordata; Mammalia; Rodentia; Cricetidae. The transcript has 4 exons.
GAGUCGUGUUUCCAGGGUCUGCACUGUUGUCCCUGGUGUCAGAACCCAAGAGAGUCAAAUCGCUUCCAGCCGGAACGUACAGCGCAGAGAAAUAUGUAAAUCAGGGCUCUCAGCGCCCUGGAGAGUGUCGCAAUUACUCCCCUUGAACAAGAAGCAACAAGCUCCCCGCCGGUGAGCUACAGAGGGUGGCUACGUCGCGGGGGAGGGAGCGGCUGCAGGAAAGGUGGGGGUGGGAACCUCACACUCUCACACCUUGUCCCCAGUGCCGAGGCCGGGGCUUCCCCCACCGCUCUCCGCUGCUCUCCCUUCCCCCUUCCUCCCCCUCCUUCUCCCUCCCUCCUCCUCCCCUCCAGCCUAGGUCCGGGUACUUAAAGCAGCGCGGGCGGGCUAAGGCGGGCGGGCGGCCCAGUCCGGUGGCGGCAGAUGCGCCCAGCGGUGGCAGCCGCCGGCGGCGCGCAGGUGACCGGCCUGCAGCGCAGCCUGGUCAGGGAGUGCCCCGGGAGAGCUGGCAGGAGCUGGAGGCCGAUCCGCCCCCGGCGCGCGCGCGUCUCGGCGCCAGGAGCCGUCCCGGGGCGUGUUGGCGAGCGCUGAUAUAGAUAUAAGGACAUUUCUCUCCAUGGCGUCACGUGACAUAAUUACCACCAGAAUCAAUCAAGAUGAAUUGCACGUCAGCGCCCGGUGGGGAUUUUUGCUUAGUUGAUCCUGGCCCAAGCCUCUUGUGCAAUCGAUGGCUCAGGUUGGAGGCGCGGGGAGCGGCCCGAGGCUUGCCGGCGUGCACGCCGCGCAGCCAUGAACGACUUUGACGAGUGCGGCCCGAGCGCAGCCAGCAUGUACCUGCCGGGCUGCGCCUACUACGUGGCCCCGUCGGACUUCGCCAGCAAGCCGUCGUUCCUCUCGCAGCCGUCCUCCUGCCAGAUGACUUUCCCCUACUCGUCCAACCUGGCGCCGCACGUCCAGCCGGUGCGGGAGGUGGCCUUUCGCGACUACGGCCUGGAGCGCGCCAAGUGGCAGUACCGCGGCGGCGGCGGGGGCGGCGCGGGGGGCGGCGGCGGGGGCGGCCCCGGCGGGGGCGGCGGCGGCUCUGGGGGCUACGCUCCCUACUACGCCGCGGCGGCGGCGGCGGCGGCCGCGGCAGCAGCGGCCGAGGAAGCGGCCAUGCAGCGGGAUCUGCUCCCGCCCGGAGGCCGGCGGCCAGACGUGCUCUUCAAGGCUCCCGAACCGGUGUGUGGCGCUCCUGGGCCGCCUCACGGUCCCGCGGCUGCCGCCUCCAACUUCUACAGCGCGGUGGGUCGCAACGGCAUCCUGCCCCAGGGCUUUGAUCAGUUCUACGAGGCGGCUCCAGGACCCCCCUUUGCUAGCCCGCAGCCCCAGCCUGCGCCCGCGCCGCCGCAGCCCGAGGGCUCCGCUGACAAGGGCGACCCCAAGGCCGGGGCUGGUGGCGGCGGGGGUAGUCCCUGCGCCAAGGCAACUCCCGGCCCGGAGCCCAAAGGGGCGGCAGAAGGCGGCGGUGGCGAAGUCGAGGGUCCCCCGGGGGAGGCGGGGGCCGAGAAGAGCGGCAGCACAGUGGCCCCCCAGAGGUCCCGGAAAAAGCGCUGUCCCUACACCAAGUACCAGAUCCGGGAACUGGAACGCGAGUUUUUCUUUAAUGUAUACAUAAACAAAGAGAAAAGACUCCAACUCUCUCGGAUGCUCAACCUCACUGACCGGCAAGUCAAAAUCUGGUUCCAGAAUCGCAGGAUGAAAGAAAAGAAACUGAACAGAGACCGUCUGCAGUAUUUCACUGGAAACCCCUUAUUUUGAGAGCUCCAGGAAGCGCCCCCUCCCCAGAGCCCCACUCACCCACCCUUCUCCCCAACAGCCUGCCCUCCGCAGGCCCAAUGUCCUUGGGUUCAAUGACGCCUCUUCUCUGUGGAACUUCACGAUUCCUUCUCGCGGUCAACUCGCGACCUCCCAGCGACCACUGCAGCCUGAGGACGAGGCCGGGGACUUGGCCGAGCGGAUCCUAAUAAGGGGAAAAUGAUUGGAAAAUUCAAGCCAGCUUCUGCGGAAUCCGCACCACUGAGCCCAGAUCCAUCUAGUCCUGCCAGGGAAAGGGGAAGAGGUUCUUAUGGGAAGAGGUGACCGAGUUCGUUGCCCCAGGUCCGGCCUAUGGUUUUCAACCCAUCUUCAAAGACCCAUCAUAAAACAGGGCCAUUCCAGAAGGCCGGAAAAUGAUAAGGCGCCAUGUGGGAUUCCAAUGUUCACCGCCCAUCCGAGGGCAGAGAGAAGCCCCUCGGAAGCCAUCCCUGCAGAGGCUGCACUGAGCUAGCUGGUCCAGGCCCGGGAGUCCGGUUGCCCCAGCUCACCCCUUGGGCCUCGAACAUGUGCCUAACCUCACUUCGAGGGUGUAUGCGUGGCUGCCUGGGGAGUGUGUGAGUGUGGUAGAGGGAGGGGCCCUUCGAGCUGCUCCAUCCGUCCGUUUUAUUAGGGACACAUUAAUCUAUAAUCAAAUACACCUCAUAAAAUUUUUAUUGAAA